This 468-nucleotide ribosomal RNA is filed under the name uncultured bacterium. RNAcentral describes it as "partial 16S ribosomal RNA". It matches the Rfam family "Bacterial small subunit ribosomal RNA", at positions 28 to 507 of the family's 1533-position model. The record is from RNAcentral.
GACGAACGCUGGCGGCGUGCUUAACACAUGCAAGUCGAACGGAAAGGCCCUGCUUUUGUGGGGUUCUCGAGUGGCGAACGGGUGAGUAACACGUGAGUAACCUGCCCUUGACUUUGGGAUAACUUCAGGAAACUGGGGUUAAUAUCGGAUAGGAGCUCCUGCUGCAUGGUGGGGGUUGGAAAGUUUCGGCGGUUGGGGAUGGACUCGCGGCUUAUCAGCUUGUUGGUGGGGUAGUGGCUUACCAAGGCUUUGACGGGUAGCCGGCCUGAGAGGGUGACCGGCCACAUUGGGACUGAGAUACGGCCCAGACUCCUACGGGAGGCAGCAGUGGGGAAUAUUGCACAAUGGGCGGAAGCCUGAUGCAGCAACGCCGCGUGCGGGAUGACGGCCUUCGGGUUGUAAACCGCUUUCGCCUGUGACGAAGCGUGAGUGACGGUAAUGAGUAAAGAAGCACCGGCUAACUACGUG